AUGGUCCGACGGGGCUACAUAUACAGGGAGAAAUGUGACGUGAACGCCACAAGACAAAAGGCAGUAGACCAACCAGCCAUGACGGGGCGCGCUGCAGCCAUCCUUGUGUUCAUGCUCUCGCUCACGGCGGUGGCCCUCCUCGUCGCCGCCGACGGCGUUGACGUGGACACCAUCCGCCUCCCUAGCGACGGCGGCGAUGGUCUUGCAACGAACAAGGGAGGCGAGGAGCAGACACCACAUGACAAAGUAGUGGGCGCCCUCCAAGCAGAGAAGCCGUGGACGUGCUGCAACAAUACCGUGUGCAAGGAGUCGCUCCCGCCGGUAUGCCUCUGCCUGGACAAGGUGAAGGAGUGCGCCGCCGCGUGCAAGCUGUGCGAGUCGUCCGGGAUCGACCACGUCUGCAACGACUGGUACCGUGGCGACCCAGGGCCCAUGUGCGCCUAG
RNAcentral lists this ribosomal RNA (444 nucleotides) under Triticum aestivum (bread wheat). RNAcentral's name for it is "partial small subunit ribosomal RNA". The record is from RNAcentral. Lineage: Eukaryota; Viridiplantae; Streptophyta; Magnoliopsida; Poales; Poaceae.